RNAcentral lists this ribosomal RNA (253 nucleotides) under uncultured bacterium. RNAcentral describes it as "partial 16S ribosomal RNA". It matches the Rfam family "Bacterial small subunit ribosomal RNA", at positions 524 to 776 of the family's 1533-position model. The record is from RNAcentral.
UACGUAGGGUGCGAGCGUUAAUCGGAAUUACUGGGCGUAAAGCGUGCGCAGGCGGUUUUGUAAGCCAGAUGUGAAAGCCCCGGGCUCAACCUGGGAAUGGCAUUUGGGACUGCAAGGCUGGAGUAUGGCAGAGGAGACUAGAAUUCCUGGUGUAGCAGUGAAAUGCGUAGAUAUCAGGAGGAACACCGAUGGCAAAGGCAGGUCUCUGGGCUGACACUGACGCUCAUGCACGAAAGCGUGGGGAGCAAACAGG